RNAcentral lists this ribosomal RNA (492 nucleotides) under uncultured bacterium. RNAcentral describes it as "partial 16S ribosomal RNA". It matches the Rfam family "Bacterial small subunit ribosomal RNA", at positions 29 to 507 of the family's 1533-position model. The record is from RNAcentral.
AGUGAACGCUGGCGGUAGGCCUAACACAUGCAAGUCGAACGGCAGCACAGUAAGAGCUUGCUCUUACGGGUGGCGAGUGGCGGACGGGUGAGGAAUACAUCGGAAUCUACUUUUUCGUGGGGGAUAACGUAGGGAAACUUACGCUAAUACCGCAUACGACCUACGGGUUAAAGCAGGGGAUCUUCGGACCUUGCGCGAUUGAAUGCGCCGAUGUCGGAUUAGCUGGUUGGCGGGGUAAAGGCCCACCAAGGCGACGAUCCGUAGAUGGUCUGAGAGGAUGAUAAGCCACACUGGAACUGAGACACGGUCCAGACUCCUACGGGAGGCAGCAGUGGGGAAUAUUGGACAAAGGGCGGAAGCCUGAUCCAGCCAUACCGCGUGGGUGAAGAAGGCCUUCGGGUUGUAAAGCCCUUUUGUUGGGAAAGAAAAGCAGCAGGUUAAUACCCAGCUGUUCUGACGGUACCCAAAGAAUAAGCACCGGCUAACUUCGUG